CUUUUAAAAUACAAUUUAAAAUAGUUUACACUUAAACAGUUUACAUACCUGGUGAAUAAAAUACAAUGAUGUUUCAAUUAUUUAUUCCAAAACAGCUAUCUACAUUUAAGUGUGAUAUGUGAUGUUGGGAGGUUGCGGUCUUCCCUUUUUAACCCCAACAUCACGUGCUGAUUGGAAUUAUUUUAUUCACCUAUGAAAUUUAAGCGUCAAUUUUGAAUUUUCUAAAGUUACUUUUUAUUGGUCAAAUAUUCUCUUUUUAUGUUAUAGAUUUAUAUGAUUGACAUAUAUUUAUUUAGUUACGUAAAAGCAAUUAAAGGAUUAUCAAAAUCUUUACUUACUUUACAGAAUUAUUAAGUGGACAAUAGAAACACU
RNAcentral lists this long non-coding RNA (372 nucleotides) under Mytilus galloprovincialis (Mediterranean mussel). The record is from RNAcentral. Lineage: Eukaryota; Metazoa; Mollusca; Bivalvia; Mytilida; Mytilidae.